UCAUCUCAUUUCAAACCACCAACUCCAUUCAUACAUCAUUCCUCGUCCAAAAGGAAAAAUGAUACACCUCUAAAAGCUCUCUCAUAAUUUCACAUAUGUAAUUGAGGAUGAAUUGGGGUUUAGGGUUAGUCCUCUAAGGAAGAGGAUGAGUACCCAUUUCUUGAAAAUUGCUUAUUGAGACUCUUUGAGGUAAAUAUAUCAUCUAUAACUCAACAAUUAUCUUUGGGUAUAUGUAAUUUGGUUUAGAAAAUUAAUAUUAGAGAUUAGAGUAGAUAUUUGGGAAAUUUAUGGUUCCUUAUGCUUAGUUUAAACUCUAGAAUGAUUUUCUAAAUUUUAAUAAACAUGAUUGAUGUUCAGAUUCAACCGUUGCUGCUUCAUCUGCUUCUCCCGGAGUUGUUGGAGAGCAAAAUUAGCCGGUCUUCAUAGUUGUGAGUUGAUGACAAUCAUUAUCACUUAUUUUAACUACCGUUAUAAAUUAUAUGUUACUAAUUUUCUAUGUUAAUAUUGAUUAUAAAUAUUUUUAUUGGGAAACACGCCUUUGAAACCGUUUUCGUCAUCCUUAUUUGUUUACAUAAGAACUCUAGUUUGAUUUCUUAUGAUAUAUAAAGUAGCGGAUUGAAAAUUAUGGUUUUAUUGUGUUUAAUUUUACAUAAGUUUGGAACUGUUGUUAAAACAUGGUUUUAGUGGAAUGUAUUUUGAAUUCACGGUNNNNNNNNNNNNNNNNNNNNNNNNAGAUGGAGCCGUCUCUUGAUUCUAUCGUAACGAAUUCAUUUUAUUUGAUUGGAUGAGAAUGCGUUUUUGUAAUCGGUGAGAAAAGGGCUAUCCGUUAGAUGGAGCCGCCCCUAAGUGAAAGGCCACUCUUAUGAGGAGAGGGCUAUCAACGAGAUGGAGCCGUCUCUCGAUUCUUUCGUAACGAAUUAUUUUAUUUGAUUGAAUUUCUAUAUUUGUUUCUUAUUUCAAUUUUUAAACUCUAUAACGAAUUGAAUCGAAUAUUAUUUAUAUUACAUAGUUACUACUAUACAAUAAUUGUUACAAGCUUCUAAAAAUCAAACGCUCGUGCUUUUGUGUGUUCCCCAUCUAGUUGGUAGUGGUUGUUAUCUGUCACUAAGUCUUUGUGACUUACCCCUUCUUCUUACAUUUUUUUUCAGAUUCCCAGUCAGCUGAGUAGCAAGUUGUUAGCAUAUUCAAAUCUUCAUCAGUCUCACUCUUUUGGUAGGCCUCCUUUAUGGUUUGAUCAAAUAUCUGCAGCUAUUUUGAGUCUAGGAAUAUUUCAUUUUGGGAUGUAUAAAGUUAAGAAUGUAAAUGUUGAAACUUUGACUAAUGAUGUAUAUGCUGCAAACAGGGUUUAUUUUGAUUUGGAAACAUUGUAAAUACAGAUGUGAUUUUGUCGAGAUUUCAAUAAAUAUUAUUUUUGAAGUAAAUGGUCAUUUUGGAAAUCUUAUAUUUAUUGUUAAACUCGGUCAUUAGGCUUGCCGGACUAG
Molecule: long non-coding RNA, 1481 nt
Filed under: Trifolium pratense (red clover)
Lineage: Eukaryota; Viridiplantae; Streptophyta; Magnoliopsida; Fabales; Fabaceae
Description: long non-coding RNA (TPRA_LNC002924)
Source: RNAcentral